Molecule: unclassified non-coding RNA, 1335 nt
Filed under: Melitaea cinxia (Glanville fritillary)
Lineage: Eukaryota; Metazoa; Arthropoda; Insecta; Lepidoptera; Nymphalidae
Description: misc RNA ENSMCXG00005009704.1
Source: RNAcentral
UGUGCUUUAUCCAAUAAUUUCCACGGGAUCAAUGAGUAUCCAAACUCCUGUAACAAUAUCCCACGCGAACGAAGUCGCGGGUACAGCUAGUUAGUAAUAAAAUUUGUUUGUCGAGUAAACUACAAGUGUUUAGUUGAUUGAACGCAACGAUUUCAGACGGUCAGAUGCAAAAUUGCUCCUUCAAAUGCGAACUGUAUCAGCAACAUGGUAGCGUACACUCGCACAAGCAGCGUGCGCAGGCCGCACAGAGCCGGCGCGUCCAUCAGACGAGUUCGAGCCGUCGCGCGUCGCUCGCGUCUCCACACUCGCUCGUGUUAUUCGCCGACCGAAACUCGCGCAAACGCUGAAAAAUAACAACUUAUCAACACUCUUGUGUAUGUUCUGUUCUAUCUCAUAACGCCAGUUGAAAUUUUAGUGAAAUAAAUCGUACUCACUGCGUUAAGCGUAGUGCAUUCGUGUAAACAAACGAUGCGUUCGAUCUAUAAUCGAUUGAUAAAAUAGUUUUUUUAAGGUUAAGUUUGUUGAACUUUUUUCGCGGCACGCGCGGCUUCGCAGUGACGUAAGAAGUGCAACUAACCAGAUUAGAUACUGUAAGCCUGCUGUAAUAAUAUAGACGAGCAUUAAAUCAAGAAGUUACAAAAUGUGAAAAAGACAAUAUAAAUAAAAUUAUCAUAUCAAAGACAUAUCUAACAAUAAAUUUAGACAUAUCACACAAUAAAAUCAUAUCGGUGUUUUUCAUACAACUAUAGUUAUAAACAAGUGUGUCUAUUUAAGUGUAAUUGUAAAGGAUAAGUGAAGUGUUAAAAGAAAGUGAAAAUGUCUGAGCGUUUCAAGGUGACGAAAUUCGAAGAGCCUUCGGGCAAGGCGUUUAAGAAUUAUGGCGCCACUUCCGCUGAGAGCGACGUGGAGCUGAAAGGGAAGCUGCUACCAGAUUCAGGUAACUUCAGCAAUAUUUCGAAAAAAGGUAACAACCAGUUCGCUGUAAUUACUGACCGAUGACCAGAGUAUGAUGUAAAUGGUUUCGACUGGUCUAGGAUUUUUUAUUGAUGACAAUUAGUAGAUAGAUGAGAUAAUAAUUAUGAUAUAAUUAUGUAUAAUAAAGCAAGAAAAUUUGCAAACUUUUUUUAUUCCACAACUUUGACUGAAUGUUUAUUAUAAUUAUUAAAAGAAAUAAACAGCAAACAAGAAAACAAUUGAAAAACCUCCAUAAAGUUCCUAUUAGCUUCAUUUUUCUUUUCUUUGCUUCAUUCCUUUAGCCAAUCCAGAGGCCAUGGUAACGAUGUCAAUUGCACUACUAGCUUUACCUAUAUUUCUAUAUAAACAAUAUCAUUUAAA